CACACACACACACACACACACACACACACACAGAGAAAUAUAAGCAAAAUAAAUACUUUUAAAGACAAGUUCCAAUACUUCUCUCUACUUGCCCCACCCUUUGCACUCCUUGUCUCCCUCCCGUGCCUUCUAGUCUAUAGACUCUUCUGAGUGAAGACAUGUCUUCAGUCGCAGAAGUGUUUUGAACAUCUCCUUGGUUAUUUAUUGACAAGAAUCACCUUUACUUUAUUCAGCAAAUGUUCAUGCUUAUUUUCUAAGUAGUGGAGUCAAUACCAGGCCGAAUGAUAAAGAUAAGGAAACCUGGCUGUUGUGGUACCCAACCUGUUAUUGUUCUGCUUGGGAGACUGAGGCAGGAGGACAGAGGGGUCUAGGGUAGCCUAGGCUGGACUGGGAGUCCUGGAAUAGAAAAACCAAAUCAAACCAAGUGUUGUGAUCUAGAUCUUUUAAUCCCAACACUUGGGAGGUAGAGGCAGGAGGAUCAAGGAUUUAUGGCUAGGGAGUCAGUCAGAUGCAGGUGAAAUACCUGUCUCUAAGCCUGGCAGUCCAAGUUCUGUCCCUGGGACCCACAUGUUGUGAGGAAAGAAUUUAUUACUGCAAGCUUUCUGCAAGCUGUCCUCUGACCUCUGUGUGCACACACACCCACAUGAGCGCAUGCAAACACACACACACUCACACACACACACUCUCACACACAUGCACAUAUACACACUCACACACCACACACCCUGACGAAUCUGGGACAGGGCAUUAAGAAGCCAUACUGUGUUGUGGCUUCGCAGUCCUGCCCAUACCUGGCUAUGCCAUUCUCCCUGUCAGAUGAACUGUUUAGAGUAAAUCACAGGUGUGGAGCUUCCUGUCGCCCUCUGAAAGGACACAAACGUCAGAUUCUCUCCUGUGCUUGGGGAUUUCUCUGGAGGCUGUCCUCUAGGCCUUCCCUACUUGUCCCUGUGACUGUCUGUCUUUAAGCUUCCCUCUUAAUGAAGCCUUCCUCCAGGUUUUAUUUAAAGAGCCUGGAGAAAGGUGAGAAAGGUGAGAGAGCCUCACCAUCCCUUUGGGCCCCAUCAUGGUGUCCCUGAUAAGAUACACUGGGUCUUUCUAUUGCUCUCCUUCCUCAAGGCCCAGUCAUGGCUUCUGUGUUCCCAAGGCUCUCUCUCCUAAUAAAGCCCACCUCUGAAAGGUGAUUAUGUGUCAGCUCCUUUCAGGAACCCACCAACCAUUGUGCUCCCCCCCACUGACCCCUUCAAGAGACAGAAGGGGGCUGCUGGGUGCCUGCCCCUGGAGAAGUGAGUUCUUCCUUUUUCUCCCCAACUUGUUGACUCUAGAUUUUUGUCAUUUCUGGGCUGGUGUGUAGUGUUGGUGUUGGCAGUGUGGUGAGCAUGUCACAAGAGUAAGAACAUUGUUACUUACUUGACAUGGUCGCAUUGUGUUUAUUCAAAGAACUUGCUUUUCAGCCACUCACCCACUCCUCAGUCAAUAAAGGAAGAAAUCCAAGCAAAAUAAAGAAAGAGGAAAUGAGAUUUGCAAACAACUACAACAAAAACCAAUCCGACAGAAAAGUACUGGGAAAGAGUGGCUGCUUUUGGGCCGUGCAUGCAUUGGGUGGCCAGGACACAGCUGUGGAGCUCUGGAGGAAUUCGAAGAAUGAGAGUCUGCAAGCCAUUUACGCUUUACGUUUUUACUGAGAGAACUCUUGCUUCUCCUACCAACUAUCACUGUUUGUGCUUUCUCUUAGGCUGGUUCACCUCCUAUGUGACAGGAGAUGAACUAUUUGUGGUGGGGAGAGAAUAGUGACUACAGAUUUGACCCACAGCUGGGUAAGGCCCUUAACCUGGCGCUUUCUCGCAGUAUGAGAUCCCGGGAGAGGAGGAAUCUCGAGACUGCUGACAGUACAGAAAUUCUCUACAGGUGUCGUCCCCCACAGUUAGGCCUAAGGGCAUGAGGAUGAGGAAGAGAUAAAAGUCCUCUGCUUCCGAGAUGGAGAGUUUGUUAUCAGAACCCUUCUGCUGGUGCUGCGUCCCAAGAGAGCAGUGGGAGCCUUGCACAAGUAGGACAGGGAUUCGGGGCGGAAACGAGGGAGACUUGGGAAUGGACACAGUUCAAAUCCAGUCUGAAGUCAUUUGCUUUGAAUGGCAAAAUCCUCUCAUUUUCUAAACCUUCUAGAAAAGUCUCCUACACCUCAACGGUAUCUUCUGGAAAUACUCGGUGAAAUCAAACACAGGUGUGCUCUCUCUUGGUUAACGCAGGGGAGCUGAGAGCUGUAGAACGAAGAGAUUCCAGAGAGCCAUGGUGAGAUGGAGAGGGCCGCUGGCGCAUGGGCCAGCUGGCCACCAGCCUUCUGAGAAGUCCUGGAGAGAUGAGAGGGGUCAGGUAGCUGGCCGAGAACCUGAACCCUGGAGUUACUGCGAGCAUGAUGCUUGUCAGACUCAGCUAUGACCUAGGGAUCAUGUCACCAUUCCUUUGGAAGGAAGGGAACUGAUGGCUUGUGUGAUGACUGUCAGCUUUUGAAGACCCGCUCUCCAAAGCAGCAGCUCCACUUCAUGCUCCUUAGUGUUGUGUGAGGGUCAGUGCCUAGGUCUCCACCAACACUUGCUGCUGUCUGCGCUUUCCCCACACCGUCUUAGUGGUGUGGAGUGGUCUUGAACUAUGGUUUGGAUUUUCAUUUAUCUUGUGACUAAUGAUAUCAAACACCGUUCAUGAGCUUACUGGCUAUUUAAAAGCUUUCUUUCAGUUGGCUGUCUUAAUAUUGGGCUAUAAUAUAAAUCUCUCAUCAGAAAAGUAACUUGCAAACAUGUUUUACUAUUCUGUGGGUUUAAAAAAACAUUAUUUAUUGUGUUCUGGAAGCAGAGCAGUUUCUCAUGUUGGCUACUUGUGCUGUUUGUUGCUAUAUCUAAAAUCCAUUGUCCAACCGAAAACUAAACAAUUUACUCUAGUGUUUUGUGCUGAGUUUUAGCUUUAGUUUUGUGUCCAUUUUGAUCCCUUUUUGUUCCCAUCUGCCUUCUAAUGUUCUUCUUUCUAUGUUUGUCCAACUGUGUUCCCUCUUAGUACACAUGACCCCUAAGUAUAUAUUUCAGCUGGUUCUAGUAAAUAAACCCUCAAUGUAUUCUGAGUUAUAGAUUUGUAAAAAUUUGCUUAGGAAAUUUAUAAUCUACAGCUGAUCAUCUAAGGCUGUAAGCACGUAGCAUAAAGAACUCCAUUUUGCUUGUUUCAUCCGCUUACAAAUAACAUAGUCUGAUGGAAGCUGUGAAGAGCCCCCUCCACACAUUAGGAAUGAAGGAUUCCUUGCCUCUGAAUACCAGCAAUGACCCUAAGACUCCCAACCCCAGUCUCCAGAUUUUAGCCUCCUGGGGGGAUCAGGUCAGUUAAAUUGUGCUGCUUUGCCUUCCUGGGACAGACCACACUCAUCACAGACUAGCAUAGGGUAUGAGUGCUUGACCACCUUACUCCAACGCAGAAGACUUGGGAAAGCAAAUCCAUACCAUCCAUAGCAAAGUCCCUGACUGGUAUCUCCUAAAACACGACUGUAGCUCAAGCUCCUAGCCUAAUCCUUUUAUUCCCUCCCCCACUCCACAAUUCCCCUUCCCUCCCCAAGUUUUUAUCUUAAGCAUGUAUCCAUAAGAGUCCAUGCUUAACCUGGGCUGGGGAGAAGCUCCAUAAAGUGUUUUCCAUACAAGGUUGAUGAUGUGAGUUGAACUUCUAGAGCCCACAUAAUAAUAAUGAUGAUGAUGAUGAUAAUAAUAAUGAUAAAAGCAGGGUGUGGUGGCAUGUAUUGUAAUCCCAGCUCUGAGGACUUAUCGGCUAGACAAGCUAGCCUGGUUGUGAGCUCCAGGAUAGUGAGAGACCCUGCCUCAAAAAAAAUGGUAGGGAUGGUAGUUGACUGUCUUGUUGAUAGUGGUUGAUAGUGAGGUGCACACACACAUGCACACAAAUAUACAAGCAUAUGGGGGUGGGGAGACAAGAAUCCUUACUAAACUAGAUUCAGUUUGUGUUUGCAGAAGAAUUCAACCUUUUAUAGAACCGCAUCUCCCAUCUAUGUUGGGCUCUGGAAUAUUAACCUCUAUGAAAUCCCUAUGUCUGAAAAUGCAUUCACAGACUACCACACUGGGAGAUGAGUGUGACAGAGCAGGAGCUGAUGUCUGCCUACUGACUGUGCUGUUAGAUCCUAAUCAGUUACCAUAUAUCUGCACUCCGGGUUCUCACUCACAGGACUGUGAGGAUACCCAGUCCAGGCUUAGGCUGUGAAAGGACAUCUGGAGGGCAGGGUUUAGGUUCGUUUUCUGUAUUGCUGUAUGUUUAGUGCCUAGAAUUGUAUCUGACACAAGGACGCAUCCAGUAAGCACUUUAAGCACUUUGUGAGCUAAUUAAGGAAACAGGGCACACAAAACCUUGCGGACUUUUCUGAUGCAUGUUUACUGUUCAUAUUACUGAACAGGUCAUGGCUGUUUCUGAGAGGAAAUGAGGGAAACUGCUUCUGUGUAGCAAUGCGCGACUUCUUGUUUCCCAAGCUGACUGGCAUCCAUCAAGCUGUUGUCGCUCUGUUGCUGAGAUUUCUCCACCGAGGCCCAGCACACAUUUAAGGACAAUUGUCAGUUCAUUUCCGGGGCCUUUCUUCUCAUUUGGGGCCUAAGUCUUACAUAAGUGUGACUUGCAGAAAAAUAUGAGCUUCACCGCCUAUUUGACUAAAAUGGUGAAGGCUCAGAAAGCCCCAGCAAAAUCAGGUUUGAAGGCUUAUUCUCCACAAUAUUUUUUUUUUUUUUUUUGCAAAAGAAUAUGAGCUUCACAGGCUAUUUUAUUAGAAUGGGGCAAGGCUUGUAAAGUCCCAGAGAAAUGAGGUUUGAAGGCUUAUUCCUUUAUAUUGUAGAAUUUCCUGACGCUUUUGAGAGGAAUCUGAUCAUCAGCCACAUUUAAAUAAGAUAAAGGACAGGACAAAGAAACAGCACUUACUGUCCCUCACACCAAGAUGUGCGGUGGCAAGAGUCCUUUUCCUUUUUUAAAAAAAUAAGAAUUUCAUAUAUGUAUAUAAUGAGUUUCAAUCAAACCAGUCCCCCAUUCCCUCCUAUCCUAUUCCUCCCGUGUCCCUUCCUACUCCCCCAUCUUAACCCACUUAGUCCACUUUUGCUGCCUGUAGAUUCGUGAGUACAGGAUCAGCUACCAGAGAGAGGUAAACUCUUAGGGGUUUCAUCCCUACAGAAAACAUAGUCUUCCUCAGAAGCCAUCAAUUGCCAAUAGCUUCUUGGGUAGGGGUGAGACUUCAUGACCCUUUCCUCUGUCCAUAUUUUGACUUGUCUGGCUAGAUAGUAUGUCUACAGUCACAGCUGUGAGUUAAUGUGUGUGAGAGCCCUAGCAAAUACUGCUUCCCUGCAGAAUCCACCACCUCUGGGUAUUGAAUUGUUCUGUCCUCCCUCCCACAGUGAUCCCUGUGACGCGGAUGUGCAGCUUAGAGAUGAGCACUGCACGCUCUCUCUCGUCUCUGCGCGAUGACUAGCUGUGGACCUCUGUAGCAAUUCCUAUCUAUUUGCAAAAAGCAGCUCCUCCAGCAGAAUAAUAGUGGGUCCUCCCCUAUGGCUCAUGGCACAGCCAUAGGUCUGUCUGUCUGUCUAUCUAUCUAUCUAUCUAUCUAUCUAUCUAUCUAUCUAUCUAUCUAUCUAUUUAUUGCAAUGCAAAGCAUGCUAAAUUAGCAGUGCAAAGCAUGGUUUAUGUCUGUGGAACAGUUUAAAUCCAAACAGAAAAUGGUUGAUUCCUUCCAUGGCAUCCAUGCCUCUGUUGCACCAGUGGACAUAUGUUGCCAAGUCAGUCAUUAUUGUAGUUCAAAGAGUUCACAGGUGGGUAAGAAUAUUGUUAAAUGUUUUUCUCCCCCUGGAAGUAUAAAUAUAACCUGACACUAUGAGAGCAAGCCAAUAGGAAGCUUUUCAGUUGGUACCAGCUUCGUCUUUCCAUAUUCUAUGAUUCAAGAAUGUAGUGUCAUGAGCAAUAGGAAUAAAUCAGCAACCAGGUCCUGGAGAGUACCCAAGAGUGAUAGCAAUAGUCUAUAAUGUUGGAGGGACCUAUGGGACCUCACUGACCACAAUUUGAAAAGAGACAACCCAUGCCUAGCACUAGGCCUUUCCUAUGGUGGUUACAUUGGAUAAUAAUAAUUGGAUAAUAAUUGGUCUCCAAGGCUGUAUCACUGGAGUUGGAUGUUGUGCUAAAAGGCAUAGUCUCUGCUGGUAUGGAAAUGGCAGUGGACAGCAACAGAAGCACCUUCUAGACUCAGCAAAAGCUUCAGCCAUGGAUGCUGCUCCUUGCACAGUCUAGCUAGAGAGAAAUGUGCCACCAUAAAGGUUAAGGAAAAGGAGAAGAGAGAGCUGCAUGGGUCCAACUGUGAGGACCUGACCUUGCAAACUCCAUUUUAGAGAAGGGACUUCAUCUUAAGCCAUAUAAUGAUCUGGGGGCGGGGGGUGAGCAGAUCUCAGCUCCAGAAAUGUGCAGGGAUAGUAGAUUUGAAUGGGUACCCUGAAAAUAGCCAACUAAGGAGCUAAGAAGCAGGACCAUAAAAUUUAUGAGGUCCAGAUGUUCCUAGGAUAUAUGGUAGAAGAGUAGCAUGCAGGAAGUAUAGGUGAGUCAACCAGACAGGUAGUAGAGGUGGGGCGAUGGGAACAGAGGAAUGCUGGGAAGGAGGAAACCAAUUCCUUGGCAGUUCUUCCCAGACAACUGAAGAAGCAACAUGUGAGCUGCCCUGCUGAGAAAGGUGUCACGCCCGACCUCGACCAGCAAGGACUGACGCAACACCAAGAGUCUUUCAGCAAGCGGCUUUAUUGCAAGAUCUCCGUUACAAAAUAACGUCUUCUUCCCCGAACCCUCCGUGUGAGCAGCUUAUAAGCCUCUGUUCUCCAAUGAUUGUUAGCCACGUGGGCAUAGCUCAUAGGCUCCCAGGCAACUGCAGACACUCGUCAGAGUAUGACACAGAGUCAUUCCACAGAGGAGCUGUGGUUCGAUGCCAAAUACUCCAAGGUGGCCAUUAGAGAGGCCAAGAGCCAGCGCCAUUUUUAAGGCCCGGUUGGGGAGCCAUGUGGGGGAGGCGAGCAGCGCCCCACAGAAAGGCAACGAGUCAUGUGGCUAACGUAGAUAAGAAUAAUGGGUUAAUAUAAGCUACAAGAGCUAAUAAGUAGCCUGAGCU
Molecule: long non-coding RNA, 7153 nt
Organism: Myodes glareolus (Bank vole)
Lineage: Eukaryota; Metazoa; Chordata; Mammalia; Rodentia; Cricetidae
Source: RefSeq, a predicted model, not a curated record